GACGAACGCUGGCGGCGUGCUUAACACAUGCAAGUCGAACGGAAAGGCCCUGCUUUUGUGGGGUGCUCGAUUGGCGAACGGGGGAGUAACACGUGUGUAACCCGCCCUUGUAUGAGGGAUAACUUCAGGAAACUGGGGCGAAUACCGGAUAGGAGCUCCUGCUGCAUGGUGGUGGUAGGAAAGUUUCGGCGGUGGGGGAUGGACUCGAGGGUUAUCAGCUGGUUUGUGGGGUAGUUGCGUACCAAGGCUUUGACGGGUAGCCCGCAUGAGAGGGUGACCGGCGACCUUGGGACUGAGAGACGGACCAGAAUCGUACGGGAGGCAGCGGUGGGGAAUAUUGCGCAAUGGGCGGAAGCCUGUUGUGGCAACGCCGCGUGCGGAAUAACGGCUUACGGGGUGUAAACCGCUUUGGCAUGUGACGAAGCGAGAGUGACGGUAAUGAGUAAAGAAGCCACGGCUAACUACGUG
RNAcentral lists this ribosomal RNA (468 nucleotides) under uncultured bacterium. RNAcentral's name for it is "partial 16S ribosomal RNA". It matches the Rfam family "Bacterial small subunit ribosomal RNA", at positions 28 to 507 of the family's 1533-position model. The record is from RNAcentral.